This is a non-coding RNA of Haemonchus contortus (barber pole worm), 75 nucleotides long. The record is from Rfam. NCBI's taxonomy places the organism in Eukaryota, Metazoa, Nematoda, Chromadorea, Rhabditida, Trichostrongylidae.
GGCUCAAAUAUGAGGUAGAGUAGAUUAGUGUGGGUCGCUGAUCCCACUAAUCAACCCUACUUCAAAUUUGGGCCA